AAAGGCGCUUUCGGGUGUCGCUGAUGGAUGGACCCGCGGUGCAUUAGCUAGUUGGUGAGGUAACGGCUCACCAAGGCCACGAUGCAUAGCCGACCUGAGAGGGUGAUCGGCCACAUUGGGACUGAGACACGGCCCAAACUCCUACGGGAGGCAGCAGUAGGGAAUCUUCGGCAAUGGACGAAAGUCUGACCGAGCAACGCCGCGUGAGUGAAGAAGGUUUUCGGAUCGUAAAACUCUGUUGUUAGAGAAGAACAAGGAUGAGAGUAACUGUUCAUCCCUUGACGGUAUCUAACCAGAAAGCCACGGCUAACUACGUGCCAGCAGCCGCGGUAAUACGUAGGUGGCAAGCGUUGUCCGGAUUUAUUGGGCGUAAAGCGAGCGCAGGCGGUUUCUUAAGUCUGAUGUGAAAGCCCCCGGCUCAACCGGGGAGGGUCAUUGGAAACUGGGAGACUUGAGUGCAGAAGAGGAGAGUGGAAUUCCAUGUGUAGCGGUGAAAUGCGUAGAUAUAUGGAGGAACACCAGUGGCGAAGGCGGCUCUCUGGUCUGUAACUGACGCUGAGGCUCGAAAGCGUGGGGAGCAAACAGGAUUAGAUACCCUGGUAGUCCACGCCGUAAACGAUGAGUGCUAAGUGUUGGAGGGUUUCCGCCCUUCAGUGCUGCAGCUAACGCAUUAAGCACUCCGCCUGGGGAGUACGACCGCAAGGUUGAAACUCAAAGGAAUUGACGGGGGCCCGCACAAG
Molecule: ribosomal RNA, 740 nt
Filed under: Enterococcus faecium
Lineage: Bacteria; Bacillati; Bacillota; Bacilli; Lactobacillales; Enterococcaceae
Description: bacterial SSU rRNA
Rfam family: Bacterial small subunit ribosomal RNA
Source: RNAcentral